AGGGUUUGAUCCUGGCUCAGAGCGAACGCUGGCGGCGUGGUUUAGGCAUGCAAGUCGAGCGCGAAAGCGGACUUCGGUCCGCGAGUAGAGCGGCGAAAGGGUGAGUAACGUAUAGGUAACCUACCCUCGACCCUGGUAUAGCGCCUGGAAACGGGCGGUAAUCCCGGAUUGUCCCGGAGGCAGGAAUCUGCCUGCGGGUAAAGAUGGGGAUCUUCGGACCUAUCGGUUGAGGAGGGGCCUAUGCCCCAUCAGCUUGUUGGUAAGGUAACGGCUUACCAAGGCAUUGACGGGUAGCCGGACUGAGAGGUUGGCCGGUCACACUGGGACUGAGACACUGCCCAGACUCCUACGGGAGGCUGCAGUCGAGAAUCUUCCGCAAUGGGCGAAAGCCUGACGGAGCGACGCCGCGUGGAGGAUGAAGGCCUUCGGGUUGCAAACUCCUGUCACGGGUUAAGAAUGGCAAGGCGCUAAUAUCGCCUUGUUUGACGAAGGCUCGAGAGGAAGUCACGGCUAACUCUGUGCCAGCAGCCGCGGUAAUACAGAGGUGGCAAGCGUUGCUCGGAAUUACUGGGCAUAAAGGGCGUCUAGGCGGAUCGGUAAGUCGGCUGUGAAAGCCCUCGGCUCAACCGAGGAAGUGCAACCGAAACUGCAGGUCUUGAGGACGAGAGGGGAGAGUGGAACUCCUGGUGGAGCGGUGAAAUGCGUAGAUAUCAGGAGGAACGCCGGUGGCGAAAGCGACUCUCUGGCUCGUUUCUGACGCUGAAGCGCGAAAGCUAGGGGAGCGAACGGGAUUAGAUACCCCGGUAGUCCUAGCCGUAAACGAUGGGCACUAAGCAGUGGCGUUUUCGAUGGCGUCACUGCCGCAGCUAAUGUGUUAAGUGCCCCGCCUGGGGAGUACGGUCGCAAGGCUGAAACUCAAAGGAAUUGACGGGGGCUCACACAAGCGGUGGAGCACGUGGUUUAAUUCGAUAAGCGAAGAACCUUACCUGGGCUUGACAUGUACGUGGUAGGAGCUGGAAACAGUGACAACCUUUCUCGUAAGAGAAGGGAGCGUACACAGGUGCUGCAUGGCUGUCGUCAGCUCGUGUCGUGGGACGUCAGGUUAAGUCCUGUAACGAGCGCAACCCCUACCGUUAGUUGCCAGCACGUUAUGGUGGGGACUCUAACGGAACUGCCGGUGAAUAGCCGGAGGAGGGAGGGGACGACGUCAAGUCAGUAUGGCCCUUAUGUCCAGGGCGACACACGUGCUACAAUGGGUGAUACAGAGGGUCGCGAAACCGCAAGGUGAAGCCAAUCUCAGAAAGUCAUCCUCAGUUCGGAUUGGGGUCUGCAACUCGACCCCAUGAAGUUGGAAUCGCUAGUAAUCGUGGGUCAGCCAUACCACGGUGAAUACGUACUCGGGGCUUGUACACACCGCCCGUCACACCAGCCGAGUGGGGGAUGCUCGAAGUCGUUUCGUUUCAGGAGCGCCGAAAGUGUCCUUCAUGAGGGGGGUGAAGUCGUAACAAGGUA
This 1512-nucleotide ribosomal RNA is filed under the name metagenome. Its description in RNAcentral is "bacterial SSU rRNA". It matches the Rfam family "Bacterial small subunit ribosomal RNA". The record is from RNAcentral.